CCCCUCUCAGGGUCGCACCUGGAGAGUUUCCAGUUCUACCAGUUUCGGCUACUGGACGGAGAGUCAAGCAGAGGCCUAUCCAUUCCAGUCCUAGCUUAGGCAGUAGCUAGCGAAGGGAAGACAAUCUGCUACAAGU
Molecule: small nucleolar RNA, 136 nt
Organism: Tachyglossus aculeatus (Australian echidna)
Lineage: Eukaryota; Metazoa; Chordata; Mammalia; Monotremata; Tachyglossidae
Source: RefSeq, a predicted model, not a curated record